GACGAACGGCUGGCGGCGUGCUUAACACAUGCAAGUUGAACGGGCAUACAUGGAAGCUUGCUGAAGUGUAUGUUAGUAGCGGACGGGUGAGUAAUGCAUGAGAAGCUGCCAUUGGGAGGGGGACAACAGUUGGAAACGGCUGCUAAUACCCCGUAUGCCGAAAGGUAAAAGGGAGCAAUCCGCCUGAUGAGGUGCUCAUGUCCUAUCAGCUGGUUGGUGGGGUAACGGCCUACCAAGGCGACGACGGGUAGCCGGCCUGAGAGGGUGAACGGCCACACUGGAACUGAGAUACGGUCCAGACUCCUACGGGAGGCAGCAGUGGGGAAUAUUGGGCAAUGGGGGAAACCCUGACCCAGCGACGCCGCGUGAGGGAAGAAGGCUUUCGGGUUGUAAACCUCUGUCCUUGGUGACGAAAAAAAUGACGGUAGCCAAGGAGGAAGCCCCGGCUAACUACGUG
RNAcentral lists this ribosomal RNA (457 nucleotides) under uncultured bacterium. RNAcentral describes it as "bacterial SSU rRNA". It matches the Rfam family "Bacterial small subunit ribosomal RNA", at positions 35 to 507 of the family's 1533-position model. The record is from RNAcentral.